This is a long non-coding RNA of Pundamilia nyererei, 679 nucleotides long. RefSeq lists it as uncharacterized. NCBI's taxonomy places the organism in Eukaryota, Metazoa, Chordata, Actinopteri, Cichliformes, Cichlidae. The transcript is spliced from 3 exons. The record is from RefSeq and is a predicted model, not a curated record.
GAGGCUUCUUCGCUUCUUAAGGCGAACAGGAAGGUGGCCUUGGAGUCAAAUGUCCCAUGAGCCUAGGUGCUGACCAUUACGGGGUCCCUAAUGUAAUAAAACCUGGGACUCCCAGAAGUGAAGAAGCUUCUUGUUAAAGACUCCCAUGACCUGGAUGAAUGAGAACACAAACAUGUUCUAAUGUUUCUUGAAUAAUAAAGAGCUUUGCGUGUUUGGUCCUCAGACGACAUCGAGAUCAUCUUCAGGCGAGAGUCGUGGAAGGCGAACGGGGAGUUUGCCCAGACAGACGUGCACCGACAGAUCGCCAUCGUGUUUAAGACUCCGCCCUACGAGGACCAAGACAUCACAGAGGAAGUGGAAGUCAACCUGGCCCUGCGUCGCAUCUCAGACCAGAUGGAGAGCGAGCCCGUUACAUUCAAGUACCUGCCUCGCAAUCCAGGAUACUCCAAACACCCUCUUGGCAGUGCCCUUCAGCAGUUAAGUACUUUAGUACUUUCCCAGUAAACUGUCAUUGUGCCAAACCAGGAGGGAGGGCGCUGUUUCCCCAUUGCACUGACAGUUGAGGCAAGUGGAAACACUGUUAUGUUAGGAGCACACCGGUGACAGGUGUAGGUGAUGCUUGGUGUCAUGAAACACUGAUGGUCUACUUUUGACUCAAGUAAAUCAGAAUCAGAAUCAG